RNAcentral lists this ribosomal RNA (420 nucleotides) under bacterium. Its description in RNAcentral is "partial 16S ribosomal RNA". It matches the Rfam family "Bacterial small subunit ribosomal RNA", at positions 355 to 776 of the family's 1533-position model. The record is from RNAcentral.
UGGGGGAUAUUGCACAAUGGGCGAAAGCCUGAUGCAGCGACGCCGCGUGGGGGAUGAAGGCUUUCGGGUUGUAAACCUCUUUCGCUAUCGAACAAGGCCCGCUUAGGGUGGGUUGAGGGUAGGUGGAGAAGAAGCGCCGGCUAACUACGUGCCAGCAGCCGCGGUAAUACGUAGGGCGCGAGCGUUGUCCGGAAUUAUUGGGCGUAAAGGGCUUGUAGGCGGCUUGUUGCGCCUGCUGUGAAAACGCGGGGCUUAACUUCGCGCGUGCAGUGGGGACGGGCAGGCUUGAGUGUGGUAGGGGUGACUGGAAUUCCAGGUGUAGCGGUGGAAUGCGGAGAUAUCUGGAGGAACACCGAUGGCGAAGGCAGGUCACUGGGCCAUUACUGACGCUGAGGAGCGAAAGCAUGGGUAGCGAACAGG